Molecule: long non-coding RNA, 674 nt
Filed under: Nicotiana tabacum (common tobacco)
Lineage: Eukaryota; Viridiplantae; Streptophyta; Magnoliopsida; Solanales; Solanaceae
Description: long non-coding RNA (NTAB_LNC010247)
Source: RNAcentral
GGAAGAAACAACCCAACUCUUGUAAAUAUUGAACCAUUGUGUUUGGCAAGAGCAAAACCAACUUGUUCAAAGAAAAUGAAGAUGGAGAAGGUAAGUUUUCAUAGUAUUCGAACGUGGAAAAAUUCCAGCUCUCUCCUAAGGUAUUCACAAAUCAAUGGCUUUGCCAUGUCCCUGCAACAAAAGGUGAGAGUGAGAUUCCCCAAGUUGCUUGAUGUCAAGAACCCCACGCAAAAGACUGAAAAGGGUGGCCCCAAGGGCAAAAACAAAAUGAUCAAAUGGGCCAAACCUGCACAACUUCUGCCAAAGGAAAUUGGUUCCAUUUUCAGUAAUGGUUCCCGCAACAAGAAACCACUUCAAAACUCCAAAAAUGACAUAAACGAUAAUGCUGACGCUUUGAAUGACUGCACAGAAGAAGAACGAGAUGCGCUUAUUGUCUCCAGGAAAAAAGGCAGCAAGUUUAAGUCUUUGUUGGAAGAUUCAGUAGAGGGAUUAACGUUGAGUAGAUCAUGUUCAUUCAAGAAGAUAAUGAGAAUCAUAGAUACAAAGGGAAAGCAAAUGAAGAAGAAAGAUGAAGCAACCUCAGAAACGUCAACUGGCACAAGAAAGCAACCGCGGAUUUUGUUCCGAAAUCUUUCAGGGCUCAAGUUCAGGUUCAGGACGAGGGUUAGAUUUCG